Molecule: ribosomal RNA, 412 nt
Filed under: Collyriclum sp. 4 DSG-2016
Lineage: Eukaryota; Metazoa; Platyhelminthes; Trematoda; Plagiorchiida; Collyriclidae
Description: eukaryotic LSU rRNA
Rfam family: Eukaryotic large subunit ribosomal RNA (bases 252-412)
Source: RNAcentral
CCUGUCCGAGGGUCGGCUUAUAAACUAUCACGACGCCCAUAAAGUCGUGGCUUGGGUUUUGCCAGCUGGCAUGAUUUCCUUAUCAUUUCGGUGGUGAGGUGUCAGAUCUAUGGCUUUUCCCUAAUGUGUCCGGGCACCCACAUAUAUAUGUGGUGGCGGAGUCGUGGCUCAAUGGCAUACACGAAAAUGCGCGCUCCGUUACACAUGGUGAAGUGUCCGUUACUAUGGUUGCGCACCUGCGCUUCUAUUCCUGACCUCGGAUCAGACGUGAUUACCCGCUGAACUUAAUCAUAUCACUAAGCGGAGGAAAAGAAACUAACAAGGAUUCCCCCAGUAACUGCGAGUGAACAGGGAUAAGCCCAGCACCGAAGCCUGUGGCCAGUUGGUCACUAGGCAAUGUGGUGUUUAGGUA